GAAGCGGCAACAGCUCAAAUUUGAAAUCUGGCGCAAGCCCGAGUUGUAAUUUGUAGAGGAUGCUUCAGGGCAGCGGCCGGUCUAAGUUCCUUGGAACAGGACGUCAUAGAGGGUGAGAAUCCCGUAUGCGACCGGUUGGCACCCGUCACGUAGCUCCUUCGACGAGUCGAGUUGUUUGGGAAUGCAGCUCUAAAUGGGAGGUAAAUUUCUUCUAAAGCUAAAUACCGGCCAGAGACCGAUAGCGCACAAGUAGAGUGAUCGAAAGAUGAAAAGCACUUUGGAAAGAGAGUUAAAAAGCACGUGAAAUUGUUGAAAGGGAAGCGCAUGCAACCAGACUUGUCGGCGGUGUUCCGCCGGUCUUUUGACCGGUCUAUUCGCCGCCGGCAGGCCAGCAUCAUCUGGGCGCGCCGGAUAAAGGCGUGGGGAAUGUAGCUCCUCGGAGUGUUAUAGCCCUGCGCACAAUACGGCGUCGCCCGGGUGAGGUCCGCGCUUCGGCUAGGAUGCUGGCGUAAUGGUUGUCUGCGGCCCGUCUUGAAACACGGACCAAGGAGUCUAACAUCUAUGCGAGUGUUCGGGUGUCAAACCCCUACGCGUAAUGAAAGUGAACGGAGGUGGGAAGCGCAAGCUGCACCAUCGACCGAUCCUGAUGUCUUCGGAUGGAUUUGAGUAAGAGCAUAGCUGUUGGGACCCGAAAGAUGGUGAACUAUGCCUGAAUAGGGUGAAGCCAGAGGAAACUCUGGUGGA
RNAcentral lists this ribosomal RNA (744 nucleotides) under Teratosphaeria miniata. Its description in RNAcentral is "eukaryotic LSU rRNA". It matches the Rfam family "Eukaryotic large subunit ribosomal RNA", at positions 95 to 871 of the family's 3401-position model. Lineage: Eukaryota; Fungi; Ascomycota; Dothideomycetes; Mycosphaerellales; Teratosphaeriaceae. The record is from RNAcentral.